CGUAAAGAACUUGCCUCACAGCUAGGGACAACAUUUAGAAAUGAAUGCUAAUACCUGAUAUUAUGAUUUUAAGGCAUCUUAGAAUUAUGAAAGCUAUAAGCACUGUGAGAGAGCUUUGCGUCCCAUUAGCUAGUUGGAGAGGUAACAGCUCACCAAGGCGAUGAUGGGUAGCCGGCCUGAGAGGGUGAACGGCCACAAGGGGACUGAGACACGGCCCAG
RNAcentral lists this ribosomal RNA (219 nucleotides) under uncultured bacterium. RNAcentral describes it as "partial 16S ribosomal RNA". It matches the Rfam family "Bacterial small subunit ribosomal RNA", at positions 116 to 334 of the family's 1533-position model. The record is from RNAcentral.